RNAcentral lists this ribosomal RNA (862 nucleotides) under uncultured eukaryote. RNAcentral describes it as "bacterial SSU rRNA". It matches the Rfam family "Eukaryotic small subunit ribosomal RNA", at positions 142 to 1043 of the family's 1831-position model. The record is from RNAcentral.
GAUAUCCAUGGUAAUUCUGGAGCUAAUACAUGCUAAAAGACCUGACUUUCGGGAAAGGUUGCAUUCAUUAGAAUUCAGACCCAACCACCUCACGGUGACAUUGGUGAUCAUAAUGAAAGAGCGGAUCGCAUUCUUGCGACAGUUCGUUCGAGCUUCUGACCUAUCAGCUUCCGUCGGUAGGGUAUUGGCCUACCGAGGCUGUGACGGGUAACGGGGAAUUAGGGUUCGAUUCCGGAGAGGGAGCCUGAGAAACGGCUACCACAUCUAAGGAUGGCAGCAGGCGCGCAAAUUACCCAAUCCCGACACGGGGAGGUAGUGACAAGAAAUAGCAGCCCAGGACAAUUAGUUCUGUGAUUGCAAUGAGCGGAAAGCAAAACUGUUUGCGAGUAUCUAUUGGAGGGCAAGUCUGGUGCCAGCAGCCGCGGUAAUUCCAGCUCCAAUAGCGUAUAUUAAAGUUGCUGCAGUUAAAGCGCCCGUAGUCGGAUAUCGUCCUCUUGAAUAGGAUGCAGAUGCCUUUUUGGCGUUCUAGCGCCUACUCUUCUGGACUAGAGUGAAGUAAGUUUCUUGCCUCACUCUGUUACCUUGAGCAAAUUGGAGUGCUCCAACCAGGCUUUAGCUUGUACAGCUCAGCAUGGAAUAACGAGAUAGGACUUCGGGUCUCCUUGUUGGUGUCAUGAAUCGAUAGUAAUGGGUUGAUAAGACAUAGGGGGCAUUUGUACUUGCUGGAGAGAGGUGAAAUUCUAAGACCCUGCAAGACAACAAGUGCGAAAGCAUUUGCCCAGUGUGUGCCUGUUGAUCAAGGACGAAAGUUGGGGGAUCGAAGACGUUUAGUAUCGUCGUAGUCCCAACUAUAAACUAUGCC